ACCGCAUAAACGUGCGUCGCCCCAUGCAUAUUCGAGCGAAACACCACCCACUUAUUGUCGGGAGUGAUAGUCACAUUCGGCUCCAACCGGUAGUCAUGCUUCGAUAGGUCCACCAGCCUCUCAACCGCCAGCUUGCCAAUUUUCACGUCCUCACCACCUACGUUCAUCGUCUCGGCUGCUUCGUCCGUCGGCCUGAACAAGUAAAUCCACUGCCCAUUCCCCGGCGGAUUGAGAGUCUUUCGCUCCGGCAGCGGCGUCAGGUUGGCGACGCUCCCGGGCCCGCCCCCGUCGCCGGCGAAAAGCUUGCCGUCGCGCGAAAUGUUGAAAUGCACCGACCAGUGCUCGCGAGCCA
This 352-nucleotide unclassified non-coding RNA is filed under the name uncultured bacterium. RNAcentral describes it as "contains 16S-23S intergenic spacer region". The record is from RNAcentral.